AGGCCUGCAAAAUGGGGACAGCGGGUGGGUAGGUGGAUGGGUGCAAUCCCGGUCUGUCGCUCUCCCGUUCCAAUGGAUCCAGAGUCCAGACCUCAGGCCUCUCCAAAAUAAACCAGGACUCCUAAUUCCUAGCAGGCAUCCCAAAGACAAGCAGCACACAGUUCCGGGUGGCUAGUUGACUGACAGCAGCAGCGGUCCAACGGGAAAGAAAAGAGAUUCGGGAGGAGAAAUCAGGAAGCGGCCAGGCUAUUGAGCCUGGACGGACGGGAAUCGGGUAAGACAGAAAUCAUGCAAGAUUCAACAGAGAGCUCAGCAGAGGGCAUGGCAAGCCAUCUC
Molecule: long non-coding RNA, 336 nt
Organism: Rhineura floridana
Lineage: Eukaryota; Metazoa; Chordata; Lepidosauria; Squamata; Rhineuridae
Exons: 3
Source: RefSeq, a predicted model, not a curated record